CACGGGGGGGCCUAACGUUAUUCAUCAUAACUGGGCGUAAAGGGUACGUAGGUGGUUUAUUAAGUCUUAAAUAAAAAAUCUAAGCGUAACUUAGAAAUUAUUUAUUAUACUGAUAUUCUAGAGGUUAAUAGGAGAAAGUUAUAUUUUUGCAGGAGGGGUAAAAUUCUAAGAUAGCAAAAAGAUAACCGUUUAGCGAAGGCGACUUUCUAUAUUAAUGCUGACAUUGAGGUACGAAGGCAUGGGAAUCAAACGGG
RNAcentral lists this ribosomal RNA (254 nucleotides) under uncultured bacterium. RNAcentral's name for it is "partial 16S ribosomal RNA". It matches the Rfam family "Bacterial small subunit ribosomal RNA", at positions 524 to 776 of the family's 1533-position model. The record is from RNAcentral.